RNAcentral lists this long non-coding RNA (275 nucleotides) under Ananas comosus (pineapple). RNAcentral describes it as "long non-coding RNA (ACOM_LNC013876)". Lineage: Eukaryota; Viridiplantae; Streptophyta; Magnoliopsida; Poales; Bromeliaceae. The record is from RNAcentral.
UUUGAGUGCGCCGAGUCCAUUUCUACAUCAUUUCGUGCUGAAACGACUCCGACUCAGUCCGACAGUCUCCAGAUGUGUCGACCAGUCACUUAUACUGAAGCCAAUCCUAUCCAAACCUCUGGAACACUACAUCUACUAUUCUAACUUAACCUAAAAUAUGUUUGAUUGGACGAAAGUGAAGUCUGAUCAAAAGUAGCACUUUUUUAUCAAUUGUUUGGUUUGUAGAAAUGACUAUAAAAGUCAUUUUAUAAAAGUGAAAUGAUAAAGUGAGUUAU